RNAcentral lists this ribosomal RNA (394 nucleotides) under uncultured bacterium. RNAcentral describes it as "bacterial SSU rRNA". It matches the Rfam family "Bacterial small subunit ribosomal RNA", at positions 28 to 424 of the family's 1533-position model. The record is from RNAcentral.
GACGAACGCUGGCGGCGUGCUUAACACAUGCAAGUCGAGCGGUAAGGCCCUUUCGGGGGUACACGAGCGGCGAACGGGUGAGUAACACGUGGGUGACCUGCCCUCAGCUCUGGGAUAAGCCUGGGAAACCGGGUCUAAUACUGGAUAUGACUCCAUGACGCAUGUUGUGGGGUGGAAAGCCUUGUGCGGCUGAGGAUGGGCCCGCGGCCUAUCAGCUUGUUGGUGGGGUGAUGGCCUACCAAGGCGACGACGGGUAGCCGGCCUGAGAGGGCGACCGGCCACACUGGGACUGAGACACGGCCCAGACUCCUACGGGAGGCAGCAGUGGGGAAGUCCUGCGCAAUGGGCGAAAGCCUGACGCAGCGACGCCGCGUGGGUGAUGAAGGCCUCGGUC